UUUUUGGUAUAACUAUGUUUCAUGUAAUAUUUGGGAAAUACUUAUACUAAAA
This is a non-coding RNA of Papio anubis (olive baboon), 52 nucleotides long. Lineage: Eukaryota; Metazoa; Chordata; Mammalia; Primates; Cercopithecidae. The record is from Rfam.